CCGGCUAAUUUUUUGUAUUUUUAGCAGAGACGGGGUUUCACCCUGUUAGCCAGGAUGGUCUCAUCUCCUGACCUCGUGAUCCGCCCGCCUAGGCCUCCCAAAGUGCUGGGAUUACAGGCGUGAGCCACCGCGCCCGGCCUAAUAAAGGACAAUUUUUAAUAGCCACUGGACUAUUUAAGUGAUCUCUUCUGUCAGUUUCUUUUACCAUCAGAGGACACAGCAGCAAGGUGCCAUCCUAGAAGCAGAGAGCAGACCCUUACCAGACAACCAACCAGCUGGUGCCAUGAUCUUGGACUUCUCGGCCUCCAGAACUGCACUUAAACACGCAGCAUGAGGAAAAUGGAACAACAAUCUUGAGCAACACCACACCCUCCUGAUCACCAUAGCUUUAUGCAACAACAAGAAACAAAUUUAUUAGCUAACCUAACCACUAAUGACGCAAGAGACAAUUCUAAGGACUUUCAAAACAGCAAAGUAGGAGCAGCUGCUACCUCUAGGGAUGAGGGAGAAACUCAAAAAUGCAUACAAAAACCAUUGCAUGAAAAGUGACUGGAUUUGUACAUAGCGUCAGGAGAUGUGCGUAGUGUCAAAGUAUCUCAUCACACAUUACUUGAUAAUUACAAAUGAGAAAAAUGAACCUUCACAGUGGCAAGACUUGACUUCUACCUCUUUCAAAAAGAUGCAAUUGUCCAAUUAUUGGUGAAAUUGUCAUUUCAUGCUAUUGGCUAUUUGAAAUUCCUCCUCUAAUUUCAGAAUAAAUCACUGAAAUUGACAUCGGCCAGUCUGAAUUUCAAGAAAUUACCUGCUGAAGACAAGAGGGAUCUCUUCUUCAGAUUUGCAGUCUGGGGAAGACACAGCCUCUACUGUACUUUAGAACCUGAGAUAUGGUGGUGGAGGGAGCCCUGGGUCGAGUGGUAAGAUUCACCCUUAGGUUAGUAUUGACGUAAGGUGACGAGGAGCUGUAGACAAAAGAUUGUAACCAUAAGAACUUCAUAGUUUUUGUAUUUUCACCGAGCUUAUAUUUGGUGUGUUUUUUGUCUUUUCUUUAUGAUUAUCAAUAAAAUGCUUGAAAGGAG
RNAcentral lists this long non-coding RNA (1076 nucleotides) under Homo sapiens (human). Its description in RNAcentral is "long intergenic non-protein coding RNA 470". The record is from RNAcentral. Lineage: Eukaryota; Metazoa; Chordata; Mammalia; Primates; Hominidae.